GCAAGUCGAGCGGAUGAAGGGAGCUUGCUCCUGGAUUCAGCGGCGGACGGGUGAGUAAUGCCUAGGAAUCUGCCUGGUAGUGGGGGAUAACGUCCGGAAACGGGCGCUAAUACCGCAUACGUCCUGAGGGAGAAAGUGGGGGAUCUUCGGACCUCACGCUAUCAGAUGAGCCUAGGUCGGAUUAGCUAGUUGGUGGGGUAAAGGCCUACCAAGGCGACGAUCCGUAACUGGUCUGAGAGGAUGAUCAGUCACACUGGAACUGAGACACGGUCCAGACUCCUACGGGAGGCAGCAGUGGGGAAUAUUGGACAAUGGGCGAAAGCCUGAUCCAGCCAUGCCGCGUGUGUGAAGAAGGUCUUCGGAUUGUAAAGCACUUUAAGUUGGGAGGAAGGGCAGUAAGUUAAUACCUUGCUGUUUUGACGUUACCAACAGAAUAAGCACCGGCUAACUUCGUGCCAGCAGCCGCGGUAAUACGAAGGGUGCAAGCGUUAAUCGGAAUUACUGGGCGUAAAGCGCGCGUAGGUGGUUCAGCAAGUUGGAUGUGAAAUCCCCGGGCUCAACCUGGGAACUGCAUCCAAAACUACUGAGCUAGAGUACGGUAGAGGGUGGUGGAAUUUCCUGUGUAGCGGUGAAAUGCGUAGAUAUAGGAAGGAACACCAGUGGCGAAGGCGACCACCUGGACUGAUACUGACACUGAGGUGCGAAAGCGUGGGGAGCAAACAGGAUUAGAUACCCUGGUAGUCCACGCCGUAAACGAUGUCGACUAGCCGUUGGGAUCCUUGAGAUCUUAGUGGCCAGCUAACGCGAUAAGUCGACCGCCUGGGGAGUACGGCCGCAAGGUUAAACUCAAUGAAUUGACGGGG
This 863-nucleotide ribosomal RNA is filed under the name Pseudomonas aeruginosa. Its description in RNAcentral is "bacterial SSU rRNA". It matches the Rfam family "Bacterial small subunit ribosomal RNA", at positions 57 to 918 of the family's 1533-position model. Lineage: Bacteria; Pseudomonadati; Pseudomonadota; Gammaproteobacteria; Pseudomonadales; Pseudomonadaceae. The record is from RNAcentral.